UCUCUACUAAAAAUACAAAAAUUAGUUGGGCAUGGUGGCACGUGCCUGUAGUCCCAACUACUUGGGAGGUGGAGGCAGGAGAAUUGCUUGAACCUGGGAGGUGGAGGUUGCAGUGAGCCAAGGUCGCGCUACUGACCUCCAGCCUAAUGACAGAGACCCUGUCUCAAAAAAAAAAAAUUAGUGUUCUAAUUUUCACUUAAACAUUAAGUUAAAAAAAAUGACAUUCUCCUUUGUAAUUCAAAGGAGACAUAGUAAGAGUCAUAUGACCAGAAAUCAUGUUUUAAAAUUUCAUAAUUUACCCUGUGACAUGUGUUUAUCUGUGUAACAAACCUUCACAUGUACCCCCAAACUUAAAAAGUAAAUAAUUUUAUAAUUUAGAUUGUCAACAUUUGCACAUGGAACACCUAAUGACUAAGAAAUUAGGAAGCACUUCCAAGGAAAUUACCAUUUCAUAUGCUACAUAAGAAACUGCUUAUUUUACGUGGAUUCUAACAGCAUCUGACUAUAAUCUAUACACUUUAUAUAUUAUAUAUACCCCUUAUCAUAUUACCUCUGAAUAUAAUAUAUACCCCUAAUGUUUUAUCAGUUGUGUAUGAAAAUCUUAUAUUUUCAUAGAACCAUCAUCAAAUGCUUAAGGUGCUUAUAGGCACAGGAAUGACUAUAUUAUUAGACAAUAUGGGGUUUUAGUGCAAAGAGCCCCUGAUUAGCUGCUAACUUGCUUUGUGACUUUGAGCAAGUCACUUUCCUGGACCAUGUCUUGUCUUGGUCUUUGUUCUAUCUCUAGCAUCUAGCAUGUAGGCACACCAAUACAAGUUUGUUGGAUGAAUAAUAAAUGGACCUUAAGUUUCGUCAUCUAUAAAUGGAAGGACUUGGAUUAGACCUGUAAAUUUCUUUUUGAAAUUUCAAAUUUGAAAUCUCAAAUUCUGUUAUACUUUUAACCCAGUCCUAGUAUUUCCUACCCUUAAGAACCAUAUGAUCAGUGCUGGCUUUCUUAUUUUACUUCCUUGGAUUCUUUCUGCUAUUUCCCAUUUGGAACAAAGUAUUGUUUUGCUCUUCUUUAGAGCCUUUGUUAGAUUUGGUUUAUAUGUAUCUCCUUUUAUUUAUUUUUAAAAAAUUAUUUUAUAUAUAUCAUUUCUUUUUCUUUGAGAUGGAGUUUCACUCUGUCACCCAGGCUGGAGUGCAGUGGCACCGUCUUGGUUCACUGCAGCCUCUGCCUCUCAGGUUCAAGCGAUUCUCCUGCCUCAGCCUCCCGAGUAGCUGGGAUAACAGAUGAGGAAACAGGUUAAACAAUUUCCCAAACUCAUCAGUGGGGAAUCAUAAAGAUACUAAGAAUACAGGAAAAAACAAGACCCAGGAACCUUGCCUUGCGACCAUCUCCUAUCUCAGGUAAGCACAUACUUAUUUAGUACAGAAUACAUUGUGAAGCGCCAUGUAUGUGCCAAGGGCUAUUAGAUGAGGGGACAGGAUCAUGAGCACAAUGAGCGUGAACUCUGGCUUCAGAGCUGAGCAUUUAGAGGGAGACACAGACACUGAAUCCACCAAACACACGCAAGGAUCUAAUGAAAACCUUGACAGAUGCUACCAAGAAAAAGUCAUUUAUAAGCUCAUAAAUGGGGAACCUGAAUGGGUGGAUAGAGGGCAAAUGUAAGAGCACUUCCAUUAAAAAGUGACUCAUAGGUAAGAUUGAAAGACUAGGAAUUAACCAGGCUGAGGCUGAGAAGAGGGGGAUAAGAAUGAGGUGCCUCCUAGUCUGAGCUGCAGGAGGGGUGGGCCUGGAGCUUGGCUCUUGAAGGAACUCAAAGAACAGUACAGCUGGAGAGAAGAGAGGCAAAAAAGAAACCAUCGCCUGGUUGCAUUGCAGGCCUGAACUCGCCUUAUCUUCUGGAGGUCAAUACCCUGAUUCUCUCUGGAAAAAUGAUAAGGGAAAGCCCUGUGUAUGGUGUUCAGUGUGCUUGAGACAAUGAGGUAGAACUGAAUACAGAUUGGGAGCCAGGCCAGCUUGGGUUUGAAUCUUGUGAGUAACAUGGUGGUGACUGUGGCCAUUAAUAAUAAGUAAAAUGGUGAAGUCAUAAGGCUCCUUCGAAUGACUUCUAUCACUUCCAAUCACUUCUAGUUGAAGCCUGGAAGUAAUUAUUCACUUUACUAAAGGAUUCACUAGAAGUGUCCUUUACAUAGUUCCCCCUAAUGCACCUAAAAUAGAUGUGAUUGCCACAGGCAAAUCACACAAUUCUGGAGGGACUCCCUCUUAUCGAGACCUGAAGCUGGCUGUGACUUGCUGUGAUCACCUGGUCAUGAUAUACUGAUAACAGGUCUCUGAGCAAACUGUGCUAUAUGAAAAUCAUUGCCAAGAAAGCCUAGAAUCUUUAGUAGAAAUCUCAGAGUCCCAGAAACUUUGAGAGAAUAUGUUAGUUGGAGGAAAAAUAAGCCUUGUCUUCCCUCCUGCCUUGUUCUCUGCCUACUUAUGGCCCAACCUCAAAUCUUUAAAUGAUGUGGCCCAGCAGAGGCCAGUGGCAUAAAGACGGUUUCUCUCCGUUCAUCCUCUUUGGAGCUGGUGGGAACUGGUUGGAAGGAAGGUUUCUGCUCUUUUUCAAAGCCCCUCAGAGGUCUCCUCAUUCCUGGUAGGCCCUCAGCACUCCUACUGUGAACCAGCUGCUCCAACCUUGAGACUCUGUAUUCACUGCUUUAAGUUGUGCUCUAAUGUGUGUGAUUAUAUGCAUUUGAUUUUGAAAAUUUGGAGAAUUCUAUGGAAAACUCUAAUUUCUUUGUAUUUCUACCUGACCUCUGCUCCUCCGAUGAGAAGCAGUUGGAUUAUAGAAUAAGAAGUUUAGGGUAUAUCUAGACAGGGCAAGUCUUCUUUCUGAAAAACACAGUACCUUGGCAUGUAGUCCAGGACCUGGGAACCAAACCGAAAAAAAAAAAAAAAAGAUCAGAGGCCCGUGCUUGUGAGAUCCUGUGAGUGGAAUGUUGGAUGUUAUCCACAUUCAUCUUGUCAUUCCUCAGUCACCCUUCCUCUUCAAGCCUAUAUGUUUAGGCUUCAGUGCUAGUUUUCCUUCUGUGCCAAAGAGCAGGGAAUAAGAGGCCUGCAGAGGGAAAUGCUUGUUCUUGGGGAGGAGCAUGUCCUUCAGCCACCACUGGGACAAUUUUCUUUGUAGUUACUAUAGUUGUUCCAUCCAUCAUUCUGUUAGUCUAUGUUCCUAGAGGGCAGAGACAGUGUCUUAUUCCCUUCCACAUCCCUAAGUUUUCCAAAUAGAUCAAGAACUAUUUGCUGAACAAACAAGUAACCAAACAAAGGAGUAAUUAGAUUGCCUAGCUGGUGAUUCUUGGAUAUAAAAAGAUGGUGAAUGAUAUGGUCUGGCUCUGUGUCCCCACCCAAAUCUCAUUGUGAAUUGUAAUCCAAAUUGUAAUCCCUGUGUGUUGAGGGAGGGACCUCGUGGGAGGUGAUUUGAUCAUGGGGGCGCUCCUCGCCAUGCUGUUCUUGUGAUAGUGAGUUCUCACGAAAUCUGAUGGUUUUAUGAGGGGUUUUUCCCCUCAUCACUCUGCACUUCUCUCUCCUGCUGUCACGUGAAGAAGGAUGUGUUUACUUCCCCUUCUGCCAUGAUUGUAAGUUUCCUGAGGCCUCCAGAGCCACGCAGAACUGUGAGUAAAUUAAACUUCUUUCCUUUA
This is a long non-coding RNA of Symphalangus syndactylus (siamang), 3663 nucleotides long. RefSeq lists it as uncharacterized. The record is from RefSeq and is a predicted model, not a curated record. NCBI's taxonomy places the organism in Eukaryota, Metazoa, Chordata, Mammalia, Primates, Hylobatidae.